AGAAAUAUCUGAAAACAAAAUUUCAAAUUAGCAAUGGUGCUGAGGAGCUGUAUAGAGAGUAUUAAAUGAACUGUAGUAUACAUCCAAGUAAAAAACAGAAUAUAUUAGGAGUAAUUAAAGUACCAUCAGCGGCGCACCAGAAUUAUUUCAUAACUUAGUAUCGUAUAUGGAUUUAGCUGAUAUACACUGACAAUAUAAAGAAUUUUUACACUAUCAGCGUACUUUAACCCAGACGUUAUGUAUGUAUAACUGCAUAAGAGGGACAACUCUCUUAUCAAUUCUGUAGGGGGCGCUUUGUUCUGCAUUCUGGUAGUCCAAUAAAUAAUUCAGUCUCAACAUCCGAUUUUUCACUACCUUCUACUGAAAAUAAAAGGUCUUCUCCACUUGAUGAUUUUGGCUGUUCAAGAUCACCACACUAAAACAAAAGGGCAACGCAAUUAUAUAGUUUCCUUUUCUCAAUUAAACUGGAAAGAGUGAAAGGUCUUCUCCACUUGAUGCUUUUGGCUGUUCAAGAUCACCACACUAAAGCAAAAGGGCAAGGCAAUUAUAUAGUUUCCUUUUCUUAAUUAAUUAAACUGUGAAACAAUCUUGAAGCUGUCUGAGGAAUAGUAAAAAUGGACACUUGAGUAUUUUCAAUGUAAUAUAACCAGGGGUGGAUAUAUAGAGUAAUAUAUGGAGUCAGAUAAACUCAGUAGCUUCUGCUUAGACUUCGUAUGUGUUAUAAAUCCACUAAAUAAGUUGUGAUAGAAUCCCGAACUCUAACACAUAAAGUUCACAUCGUGAAUUCGUCUAUGGCUUUGAGAUUACCAUUAGAAAACCAUAUGAAUUACAGAACUUAAUGGGAAUUAAGGUCCUUUGAAGAUCUUUUGGCAGAGAGAGUUGGUCAUGUUUGACUAAAGAAAAGCUACUAUAUUUUAAUCAAUCUUAAUAAAAUAAUUAUCGAGAAAUAUUUUUCAUGCGAGAAAUUUACCUACCAUGUUCAGGACAUUCUCUUAUAUAUAUGACCCAAAUAUAUUACACUAAAGUAAGGAAUCAUACUAAUAAUUAAACUUUGUUGUAUAGAAUUGAAAGGACUCCUACAUAAGGCGUUUUGAUCCAUACAACAGCAGUUCUCUUGAUAUCCUUCUUACUUUUAAAAGGUUCCCAUCUUUAAGUAUUCUAAACAUUUAGGCUGAGGGAAAGAAAAAGUACCUUC
This 1195-nucleotide long non-coding RNA is filed under the name Nicotiana benthamiana. Its description in RNAcentral is "long non-coding RNA (NBEN_LNC034314)". The record is from RNAcentral. Lineage: Eukaryota; Viridiplantae; Streptophyta; Magnoliopsida; Solanales; Solanaceae.